UCCUACGGGAGGCAGCAGUGGGGAAUAUUGCGCAAUGGGGGGAACCCUGACGCAGCCAUGCCGCGUGAAUGAAGAAGGCCUUCGGGUUGUAAAGUUCUUUCGGUAAUGAGGAAGGGAUGUUGUUAAAUAGAUAGCAUCAUUGACGUUAAUUACAGAAGAAGCACCGGCUAACUCCGUGCCAGCAGCCGCGGUAAUACGGAGGGUGCGAGCGUUAAUCGGAAUAACUGGGCGUAAAGGGCACGCAGGCGGACUUUUAAGUGAGAUGUGAAAUCCCCGAGCUUAACUUGGGAACUGCAUUUCAGACUGGGAGUCUAGAGUACUUUAGGGAGGGGUAGAAUUCCACGUGUAGCGGUGAAAUGCGUAGAGAUGUGGAGGAAUACCGAAGGCGAAGGCAGCCCCUUGGGAAUGUACUGACGCUCACGUGCGAAAGCGUGGGGAGCAAACAGGAUUAGAUACCCUGGUAGUCC
Molecule: ribosomal RNA, 467 nt
Filed under: uncultured bacterium
Lineage: Bacteria
Description: bacterial SSU rRNA
Rfam family: Bacterial small subunit ribosomal RNA
Source: RNAcentral